UACAGAGGUCUCAAGCGUUGUUCGGAUUCAUUGGGCGUAAAGGGUGUGUAGGUGGCGCCGUAAGUCGGGUGUGAAAUUUCGGAGCUUAACUCCGAAACUGCAUUCGAUACUGCGGUGCUUGAGGACUGGAGAGGAGACUGGAAUUCAUGGUGUAGCAGUGAAAUGCGUAGAGAUCAUGAGGAAGACCAGUGGCGAAGGCGGGUCUCUGGACAGUUCCUGACGCUCAGGCACGAAAGCCAGGGGAGCAAACGGG
Molecule: ribosomal RNA, 253 nt
Filed under: uncultured bacterium
Lineage: Bacteria
Description: partial 16S ribosomal RNA
Rfam family: Bacterial small subunit ribosomal RNA
Source: RNAcentral